GACGAACGCUGGCGGCGUGCUUAACACAUGCAAGUCGAACGGAAAGGCCCUGCUUUUGUGGGGUGCUCGAGUGGCGAACGGGUGAGUAACACGUGAGUAACCUGCCCUUGACUUUGGGAUAACUUCAGGAAACUGGGGCUAAUACCGGAUAGGAGCUCCUGCUGCAUGGUGGGGGUUGGAAAGUUUCGGCGGUUGGGGAUGGACUCGCGGCUUAUCAGCUUGGUGGUGGGGUAGUGGCUUACCAAGGCUUUGACGGGUAGCCGGCCUGAGAGGGUGACCGGCCACAUUGGGACUGAGAUACGGCCCAGACUCCUACGGGAGGCAGGAGUGGGGAAUAUUGCACAAUGGGCGGAAGCCUGAUGCAGCAACGCCGCGUGCGGGAUGACGGCCUUCGGGUUGUAAACCGCUUUCGCCUGUGACGAAGCGUGAGUGACGGUAAUGGGUAAAGAAGCACCGGCUAACUACGU
RNAcentral lists this ribosomal RNA (467 nucleotides) under uncultured bacterium. RNAcentral's name for it is "partial 16S ribosomal RNA". It matches the Rfam family "Bacterial small subunit ribosomal RNA", at positions 28 to 506 of the family's 1533-position model. The record is from RNAcentral.